AGAAAAAAGAAUAAUAUUAUGCUAAAAAUGCAAUCUUUUGCAUUUCAAAAGUUAUUUCUUGGUAAUUUAGAAAAAAAAUACGCAGACGGCCAGAAAAUUGCUAUAAAGCUUACUAAGCAGCUGAAUAAAAAUAAUAAGAGUUAGCAAGAUCUGAUCAAGGAGUAUAAUUCUAUAGCUUUAAUUUAUCCCAGCAAGUUUUUACAAAAUGUAGUUGUUUGGGACGAGGUUGGUGAUUUGAAGAGUGUUUUUUGGAAAAAUUAUUGGACACAAAAAAGUUCCGAUUUCGCCAUCCCCGUUAUAAUUAAACGAAAGUGUAUUGAGUUGUUUCAAUUGAACUGUAGAGCUAUCGAAGAAAUCGAAAUGGUUAAAAGCGAAAUGAAAAACGUAAUAAGUUUUAACCAAACUAAAAUAAAUGAAUUUAAGGAAGCUCUCACAUUACUUGAAGAUAAUACUGAAGAUAAUGGGUGGAAAGCAAGAUUACUGAAUGAAAUAGAUGCUUUAAAUUUUAAAACAAAUUGUUUUUCUUAGGCUUUUUAUCCUUAUCUUAAUUCGGAUACUUUAAGUGAAAUAAAGACUCUGUUGUUUAAAGACUUUGAAGAUGAAUUAAGUAGUGAAUCGGAUGAUAGUGAUUUAGAAUUUGAAUAAAUGUUUACCAUUAUAAUAAAACAUACUUUAUUUAUUUUAUAUUAUGUCGGAUGAAUGCAUAACACCGCGGGAGCCAAGCGGUGAUGACCUGCACAGUUUUAUAGCAAUAAAUUAAUUUUUUUUU
Hydra vulgaris (swiftwater hydra) is the source of this 769-nucleotide non-coding RNA. The record is from RefSeq and is a predicted model, not a curated record. NCBI's taxonomy places the organism in Eukaryota, Metazoa, Cnidaria, Hydrozoa, Anthoathecata, Hydridae.